Long non-coding RNA from Mauremys reevesii (Reeves's turtle), 250 nucleotides. RefSeq lists it as uncharacterized. NCBI's taxonomy places the organism in Eukaryota, Metazoa, Chordata, Testudines, Geoemydidae. The record is from RefSeq and is a predicted model, not a curated record. The transcript has 3 exons.
GUUUAUUUGAAAUGGAAUAAAUGUCUGUUUCCAAGCAUCUCAACUUGUGGAGCGAUAUCUUGUAGGCCGGCUGAGCUGAACAGUGGUGUCCCUAUUAUCGUCCCUAGCUGUUGUAAUAGCUUCUGGAGAACAUGAGCCGCUAGUAACAAUAUCUACAAAAUGGCAUUCCUAACUCAGAGACCUGGAAAAAAAGAAAAAUUGUGAGAACACAGAGGAAGGCAGACCACAGUUUUUGCACCCAAAUGACGAC